RNAcentral lists this small RNA (166 nucleotides) under human gut metagenome. RNAcentral describes it as "Clostridiales-1 RNA". It matches the Rfam family "Clostridiales-1 RNA". The record is from RNAcentral.
GAUACCAGGGUAGAAAGGUCGGAAAUCCGAUGCAAGCUUGCUUGCAGGAGGAUUUAUGAACUUGAGACCCGCCAAAAACAUGAGUAAGCAGCCAUUUUUGUAAAAAAUGAGCGAAUUACGAAUGUUUUUGAGGAUUGUGAGAGUGCGAAGCACGGAACAAUCCGGU